AUAUAUAUAUGUAUGUAUGUAUGUAAAACUGAAUCUAUUGAUGUUUUUUCUUUUCCAAAGAGAGCUGACUCUUCAUCUGAAGAGAGAUAUUUUGGUUGGCGUCGUCCCUAUCCGCCAUAUUUUAGAAGAUUUGCUCUGAGGUCUCCAUCUCCUAGAAAUUUUGGAUAUCCUUCAACGGGUCGAUAUCCUGGAUUUCCUGGACAUCCUCCAAAUCCAUAUGAUCACAAUCUUGAAAAUCUCCCAUAUUAUGCAGAUGCUGAAGAUGCUGCUAAUGCAGCCCCAGAAGCACCUCAAUAAACACAGGUAAAGAUAAGCUGUGCUUACUGAAAUCAUGGCGGAUGGUGGGGUGAAAAGAAUACCGGAUUUCGCCGUUAAAACCUCUGGUUGAACUUCCAAUUUCCCCCUCAAUAGCUGAAUGACCUGGACCAUCCAGAAUCUGAAUGCCUCUUUUCCUGCAGAAGAUUUUGCUGAGACCAUUCUCCAUUGGGUUACCAAAGGAUACGCCUAAAGCUUAGCUGUGACCAUGGUGCUUAUUCAAUUCCCUGCCCCCUCCCAAUAAAUUCUAGUGGUUCUACUAUGUCCA
This is a long non-coding RNA of Vombatus ursinus (common wombat), 583 nucleotides long. Lineage: Eukaryota; Metazoa; Chordata; Mammalia; Diprotodontia; Vombatidae. The record is from Ensembl.